UAGCUCAGUUGGUAGAGCAUGGUGUUUGCAACACCAGGGUUGUGGGCUCGAUUCCCAC
This 58-nucleotide transfer RNA is filed under the name Salmo salar (Atlantic salmon). It matches the Rfam family "tRNA", at positions 8 to 63 of the family's 71-position model. From Rfam's summary of the family: Transfer RNA (tRNA) molecules are approximately 80 nucleotides in length. Their secondary structure includes four short double-helical elements and three loops (D, anti-codon, and T loops). Lineage: Eukaryota; Metazoa; Chordata; Actinopteri; Salmoniformes; Salmonidae. The record is from Rfam by way of RNAcentral. RNAcentral also lists the same sequence under 1 other name.